Molecule: ribosomal RNA, 384 nt
Filed under: uncultured bacterium
Lineage: Bacteria
Description: bacterial SSU rRNA
Rfam family: Bacterial small subunit ribosomal RNA
Source: RNAcentral
AUUGAACGCUGGCGGCAUGCUUUACACAUGCAAGUCGAACGGUAACAGGCCUUCGGGUGCUGACGAGUGGCGAACGGGUGAGUAAUGCAUCGGAACGUGCCCAAUCGUGGGGGAUAACGUAGCGAAAGUUACGCUAAUACCGCAUAAGCCCUGAGGGGGAAAGUGGGGGACCGCAAGGCCUCACGCGAAUGGAGCGGCCGAUGUCAGAUUAGCUAGUUGGUGGGGUAAAGCCCACCAAGGCGACGAUCUGUAGCGGGUCUGAGAGGAUGAUCCGCCACACUGGGACUGAGACACGGCCCAGACUCCUACGGGAGGCAGCAGUGGGGAAUUUUGGACAAUGGGCGCAAGCCUGAUCCAGCCAUGCCGCGUGCGGGACGAAGGCCU